GACGAACGCUGGCGGCGUGCUUAACACAUGCAAGUCGAACGGAAAGGCCCUGCUUUUGUGGGGUGCUCGAGUGGCGAACGGGUGAGUAACACGUGAGUAACCUGCCCUUGACUUUGGGAUAACUUCAGGAAACUGGGGCUAAUACCGGAUAGGAGCUCCUGCUGCAUGGUGGGGGUUGGAAAGUUUCGGCGGUUGGGGAUGGACUCGCGGCGUAUCAGCUUGUUGGUGGGGUAGUGGAUUACCAAGGCUUUGACGGGUAGCCGGCCUGAGAGGGUGACCGGCCAAACUAGGACGGAGCUACGGCCCAGACUCGUACGGGACGCAGGGGUGGGGAAUAUAAUACAGUGGGCGGAAGCCUGGUGCAGCAACGCAGCGUGGGGGAUGACGGGCUUCGGGUUGUAAACCGCUUUCGCCUGUGACGAGGCGUGAGUGACGGUACUGGGUAAAGAAGCACCGGCUAACUACGUG
RNAcentral lists this ribosomal RNA (468 nucleotides) under uncultured bacterium. Its description in RNAcentral is "partial 16S ribosomal RNA". It matches the Rfam family "Bacterial small subunit ribosomal RNA", at positions 28 to 507 of the family's 1533-position model. The record is from RNAcentral.